GACGAACGCUGGCGGCGUGCUUAACACAUGCAAGUCGAACGGAAAGGCCCUGCUUUUGUGGGGUGCUCGAGUGGCGAACGGGUGAGUAACACGUGAGUAACCUGCCCUUGACUUUGGGAUAACUUCAGGAAACUGGGGCUAAUACCGGAUAGGAGCUCCUGCUGCAUGGUGGGGGAUGGAAAGUUUCGGCGGUUGGGGAUGGAUUCGCGGCUUAUCAGCUUGUUGGUGGGGUAGGGGCUUACCAAGGCUUUGACGGGUAGCCGGCCUGAGAGGGUGACCGGCCACAUUGGGACUGAGAUACGGCCCAGAAUCCUACGGGAGGCAGCAGUGGGGAAUAUUGCACAAUGGGCGGAAGCCUGAUGCAGCAACGCCGCGUGCGGGAUGACGGCCUUCGGGUUGUAAACCGCUUUCGCCUGUGACGAAGCGUGAGUGACGGUAAUGGGUAAAGAAGAACCGGCUAACUACGUG
RNAcentral lists this ribosomal RNA (468 nucleotides) under uncultured bacterium. RNAcentral's name for it is "partial 16S ribosomal RNA". It matches the Rfam family "Bacterial small subunit ribosomal RNA", at positions 28 to 507 of the family's 1533-position model. The record is from RNAcentral.